Molecule: ribosomal RNA, 484 nt
Filed under: uncultured bacterium
Lineage: Bacteria
Description: partial 16S ribosomal RNA
Rfam family: Bacterial small subunit ribosomal RNA
Source: RNAcentral
AUUGAACGCUGGCGGCAGGCCUAACACAUGCCAGUCGAGCGGAUGAAGGGAGCUUGCUCCUGGAUUCAGCGGCGGACGGGUGAGUAAUGCCUAGGAAUCUGCCUGGUAGUGGGGGAUAACGUCCGGAAACGGGCGCUAAUACCGCAUACGUCCUGAGGGAGAAAGUGGGGGAUCUUCGGACCUCACGCUAUCAGAUGAGCCUAGGUCGGAUUAGCUAGUUGGUGGGGUAAAGGCCUACCAAGGCGACGAUCCGUAACUGGUCUGAGGGGAUGAUCAGUCACACUGGAACUGAGACACGGUCCAGACUCCUACGGGAGGCAGCAGUGGGGAAUAUUGGACAAUGGGCGAAAGCCUGAUCCAGCCAUGCCGCGUGUGUGAAGAAGGUCUUCGGAUUGUAAAGCACUUUAAGUUGGGAGGAAGGGCAGUAAGUUAAUACCUUGCUGUUUUGACGUUACCAACAGAAUAAGCACCGGCUAACUUCGUG